AAGACUAUAGACCUGCGGAGUACCUGCGGAGGGAUCAUUACCGAGUUAGGGUAGUCACUCACUGCCCGACCUCCCAACCCUGUGUCUACCACACUUUGUCGUUGCUUCGGCGGACCGGUUGACCAACUAGUCGUGACCGCCGGGGGCUGGCUCUGUCCCCCCUGGAGAGCGUCCGUCGAUGGCCCAACCACAAAACUCUUGUACCGAAACGUGUCGUCUGAAUUAUAUUUGAGAAAUCAA
Molecule: unclassified non-coding RNA, 240 nt
Filed under: soil metagenome
Description: partial contains 5.8S ribosomal RNA, internal transcribed spacer 2, and large subunit ribosomal RNA
Source: RNAcentral